GUGUUCAAGUUUUUAAGGGCAUACGGUGGAUGCCUUGGCAUCAGGAGCCGAUGAAGGACGUGGGAGCCUGCGAUAUGCCUCGGGGAGUCGGCAACCAGACUUUGAUCCGGGGAUUUCCGAAUGGGGUAACCUGGCACUCGUCAUGGGGUGUCGCCGCCGUCUGAAUGUAUAGGGCGGUUGGUGGGAACGCGGGGAAGUGAAACAUCUCAGUACCCGCAGGAAGAGAAAACAAUUGUGAUUCCGUGAGUAGUGGUGAGCGAAAGCGGAGGAGCCUAAACCGUGCGCGUGUGAUACCUGGUAGGGGUUGCGUGUGCGGGGUUGUGGGAGCAUCCGGCUGGGUCUACCAGUCCAGCAGAGAGUUACAAAAUAUCAUGGUAGUCGAACGGCUUGGGAUGGCCGACCGUAGACGGUGAGAGUCCGGUAGACGAAACUGUGGUGUCUCUUGGGUGUGUUCCCCGAGUAGCACGGGGCCCGUGAAAUCCCCGUGUGAAUCUGCCACGACCACGUGGUAAGGCUGAAUACUUCCUGAUGACCGAUAGCGGACCAGUACCCGUGAGGGAAAGGUGAAAAGUGCCCCGGUGAGGGGUCGUGAAAGUAGUACCUGAAACCCGUGUGCCUACAAGCCGUCAGAGCUGGGUUAAUGCCCUUUCGGGGUGUCGGGUUGGUGAUGGCGUGCCUUUUGAAGAAUGAGCCUGCGAGUUAUGGUGUGUGGCCAAGGUUAACCGGUGGCGGGUAGCCGUAGCGAAAGCGAGUCUGAAUAGGGCGUUUUUAGUCGCAUGCUGUAGACCCGAAGCGGGGUGAUCUAGCCAUGGGCAGGGUGAAGCGCCGGUAAGACGGUGUGGAGGCCCGAACCCACCAGGGUUGAAAACCUGGGGGAUGACCUGUGGUUAGGGGUGAAAGGCCAAUCAAACUCCGUGAUAGCUGGUUCUCCCCGAAAUGCAUUUAGGUGCAGCGUUGCGUGUUGCUUGCCGGAGGUAGAGCUACUGGAUGGCUGAUGGGCCCGACAAGGUUACUGACGUCAGCCAAACUCCGAAUGCCGGUAAGUGAGAGCGUGGCAGUGAGACUGCGGGGGAUAAGCUUCGUAGUCGAGAGGGAAACAGCCCAGAUCAUCGGUUAAGGCCCCUAAGCGUGUGCUAAGUGGGAAAGGAUGUGGAGUUGCUGUGACAACCAGGAGGUUGGCUUAGAAGCAGCCAUCCUUGAAAGAGUGCGUAAUAGCUCACUGGU
RNAcentral lists this ribosomal RNA (1224 nucleotides) under Actinomadura pelletieri. RNAcentral describes it as "bacterial LSU rRNA". It matches the Rfam family "Bacterial large subunit ribosomal RNA", at positions 1 to 1149 of the family's 2925-position model. Lineage: Bacteria; Bacillati; Actinomycetota; Actinomycetes; Streptosporangiales; Thermomonosporaceae. The record is from RNAcentral.